UACGUAGGGUGCGAGCGUUGUCCGGAAUUAUUGGGCGUAAAGAGCUCGUAGGCGGUGUGUCACGUCGGCCGUGAAAACCUGCAGCUUAACUGUGGGCGUGCGGUCGAUACGGGCAUCACUGGAGUUCGGCAGGGGAGACUGGAAUUCCUGGUGUAGCGGUGAAAUGCGCAGAUAUCAGGAGGAACACCGGUGGCGAAGGCGGGUCUCUGGGCCGAUACUGACGCUGAUGCGCGAAAGCGUGGGGAGCAAACGGG
RNAcentral lists this ribosomal RNA (254 nucleotides) under uncultured bacterium. Its description in RNAcentral is "partial 16S ribosomal RNA". It matches the Rfam family "Bacterial small subunit ribosomal RNA", at positions 524 to 776 of the family's 1533-position model. The record is from RNAcentral.